RNAcentral lists this long non-coding RNA (231 nucleotides) under Mytilus galloprovincialis (Mediterranean mussel). Lineage: Eukaryota; Metazoa; Mollusca; Bivalvia; Mytilida; Mytilidae. The record is from RNAcentral.
UGUUGUAUCUAUGAAUAUAUUGAUUAUCUUAUACAUUAUAUAUGUUUACGUACGAAAUGAAUUCCAAUACAAAGUAUCAUGUUUGAUGAUUGUUAACCCUGAUAAACAAAACAUAUGAUAUAACUGUUUAUAUAAGGAUGGGGAAAAAAUGAAAUAUCAUAUAGAAACUGAACCUUUUAUUAAAUAUUUUGAAAUAUGAUGCACAGGUUGAAUAAUUUAUAGCUACCCACA